CAGCGGGUCUUCUUUCUUCUCA
Molecule: microRNA, 22 nt
Filed under: Schmidtea mediterranea
Lineage: Eukaryota; Metazoa; Platyhelminthes; Tricladida; Dugesiidae
Description: sme-miR-7c-3p
Gene: sme-miR-7c-3p
Source: miRBase by way of RNAcentral